Molecule: transfer RNA, 84 nt
Filed under: Lentimicrobiaceae bacterium
Lineage: Bacteria; Pseudomonadati; Bacteroidota; Bacteroidia; Bacteroidales; Lentimicrobiaceae
Also listed under: 1 other name
Description: tRNA-Leu
Rfam family: tRNA
About the family: Transfer RNA (tRNA) molecules are approximately 80 nucleotides in length.
Source: RNAcentral
GCCCAGGUGGUGGAACUGGUAGACACGCUACUUUGAGGGGGUAGUGACUGCAAGGUCGUGCAAGUUCGAUUCUUGUCCUGGGCA